CUUGAGAGAAACAAAAGCCAUCAAAAAGGCUAUUACCUGUGGGGAAAAGGAAAAGCAAGAUCUCAUUAAGAGCCUUGCCAUGUUGAAGGACGGCUUCCGCACUGACAGGGGGUCUCACUCAGACCUGUGGUCCAGCAGCAGCUCUCUGGAGAGUUCGAGUUUCCCGCUACCGAAACAGUACCUGGAUGUGAGCUCCCAGACAGACAUCUCGGGAAGCUUCGGCAUCAAUAGCAACAAUCAGUUGGCAGAGAAGGUCAGAUUGCGCCUUCGAUAUGAAGAGGCUAAGAGAAGGUAAUUGGGCUGGGGCUAGGGGCGGGAUGGUUCCAAAAAUAAUAACUACAAUUGUAGAAUGCCUGCUCUGUGCUUAGCUUUUCACACACUUCGUCUUCUUUAAUCCUCACAAAGAUUAUGAAGAUAGUUAUUAUACUUUUUAUUUUUCAUCCUCUCUGAAAUUCAGAGAGGAAAUGACUCACCC
RNAcentral lists this small RNA (475 nucleotides) under Pan troglodytes (chimpanzee). RNAcentral's name for it is "retained intron". Lineage: Eukaryota; Metazoa; Chordata; Mammalia; Primates; Hominidae. The record is from RNAcentral.